GAUGAACGCUGGCGGCGUGCCUAAUACAUGCAAGUCGAGCGAACAGAUGAGGAGCUUGCUCCUCUGACGUUAGCGGCGGACGGGUGAGUAACACGUGGAUAACCUACCUAUAAGACUGGGAUAACUUCGGGAAACCGGAGCUAAUACCGGAUAAUAUAUUGAACCGCAUGGUUCAAUAGUGAAAGACGGUUUUGCUGUCACUUAUAGAUGGAUCCGCGCCGCAUUAGCUAGAUGGUAAGGUAACGGCUUACCAAGGCAACGAUGCGUAGCCGACCUGAGAGGGUGAUCGGCCACACUGGAACUGAGACACGGUCCAGACUCCUACGGGAGGCAGCAGUAGGGAAUCUUCCGCAAUGGGCGAAAGCCUGACGGAGCAACGCCGCGUGAGUGAUGAAGGUCUUCGGAUCGUAAAACUCUGUUAUUAGGGAAGAACAAAUGUGUAAGUAACUAUGCACGUCUUGACGGUACCUAAUCAGAAAGCCACGGCUAACUACGU
Molecule: ribosomal RNA, 496 nt
Filed under: uncultured bacterium
Lineage: Bacteria
Description: partial 16S ribosomal RNA
Rfam family: Bacterial small subunit ribosomal RNA
Source: RNAcentral